UCGUUGCCGAUGUACUUUGUAUAGCUUAAUAUGUAUAAUUUCAUCAGAAUGAUACAGAUUGUAUCGUACCUAAGGAUAUAUCGUAAAUCCAACAUGUCUUUGUCGACUGAUGUUUGCUUCGAAUAACGAGAGGGACGUAAAGCAUGUUCGAGCCUCGAAUAAACGUAGAAAAACUGGCUUCCAAGUCUUGCGAGGUACGCUGCAAAGCUUUGUGUCAAAUUUGUUACAGUUUCCCACGGAUUAAUGGAUACUUUGGAUAAGUGUAUCCAUAAUUGCAGUACUAAAAGUUGACUUGCACUUUUAAACAUAUAGGCGAUGACUUGGAUCGCUAAAGUAAACUGCAUCGAAUUAAACGCCAUUAAAAUGUGGUGUACGUCGAGUAUACGUUAGUAGCGGAAAUGAUGGGAAUUCUAGGCACUGAUGCAUUCGAAUUUCAAGAUUUUUAUCUGGCGAGCUCUGUGUUUGGAAUCAUUGUUUUCAGGAAACGUAAGAAACGUAAGACGUGUUCGAACUUACUAUCAACCAAGUUGAGCCACCCGAACCAAACGUGCAAACGGUUUGGCCGGUUUUCGAGGUAGAGUUCAUCGAACCUUGGUUGCAAGGGAUUGAUCGUGUAUGGCUACUGAAGGUAUGUGCACAAACAAUCAUUGAUCUGUGACGCCCGGCCGCCUACAUAUUACUUACAUAUUAUCUAGUUCGAGCUCAAAUAGGACGCGCCGCUUAGAUCCAGAAACAAAACCUCUGUUAUCACUUUCAUCAGCUGCGAAUAAUUUUAUAAGCAAUUUCUAGGCCAAGGGAAUUGACCGUACCGUAAUGAAAAAGAAGACCGUGGAUCUGUCCGUGAGAGUAUUUGCCAUUUUUCAUAGUUUAAGAAUGUACAGAAACUCGUUAAACAUUUCUUCGAUCUUUCCUCAUCCACCGAGCCGUGUACUCGCCUCUUUCCUCUUCUUUGCAACCGAGAAGAACCGUCCCGGGACCAUUGUUAAAUCUUUUUCGAGGUUAUUACACGUACGAUAUGUAAAUGUGUCGCUGGGUCCGGUCCUCGACGUCGGAGGACCAGCUUCUUUCUUUUUCUUUCUUUCAUUCCGAUCCUUCUCUCUAUUUCUCUUUUAUUCCACACGGCUUCUUCUCUCAUCUUGUCAGGGGCGGAUCAGAUCGAAUCCGUCUCGAUAAAAUAGACCUGUUCACGAUAAUAAAGCCAGCCAAUUACAAUUCAUGAGAGGCAGGUCAAUUCAUUCGUCGAGAUGAUCUUCCGAAUUUCUUGCUUCUUACUGCAACUAUUCUAUAUAUAUGAAAUAAUGUUUCUUUAUUAGACCUCUAAAUAUCGUAUACCUAUUUAUACUGUAUUCACUAUAAUUAUACCAUAUUUCAUUACAUGUAUAAUUU
This is a long non-coding RNA of Bombus pyrosoma, 1386 nucleotides long. RefSeq lists it as uncharacterized. Lineage: Eukaryota; Metazoa; Arthropoda; Insecta; Hymenoptera; Apidae. The transcript is spliced from 3 exons. The record is from RefSeq and is a predicted model, not a curated record.